RNAcentral lists this ribosomal RNA (541 nucleotides) under uncultured Verrucomicrobiota bacterium. RNAcentral's name for it is "bacterial SSU rRNA". It matches the Rfam family "Bacterial small subunit ribosomal RNA", at positions 100 to 730 of the family's 1533-position model. The record is from RNAcentral. Lineage: Bacteria; Pseudomonadati; Verrucomicrobiota.
UAAGGUGCGUAACACGUGGGAAUCUGCCGAGAAGUGGGGGAUAGCUCGUCGAAAGGCGAAUUAAUACCGCAUAGAUGAGCCCGCGGCCUAUCAGCUUGUUGGUGAGGUAACGGCUCACCAAGGCUAUGACGGGUAGCUGGUCUGAAGGACGACCAGUCACACUGGACUGAGACACGGUCCAGACACCUACGGGUGGCAGCAGUCGAGAAUUUUUCUCAAUGGGGGAAACCCUGAAGGAGCGACGCCGCGUGGAGGAUGGAGGUCUUCGGAUCGUAAACUCCUGUCAUUUGGGAUAGUACCAGAAGAGGAAGAGACGCUAACUCUGUGCCAGCAGCCGCGGUAAUACAGAUCUCAAGCGUUGUUCGGAUUCAUUGGGCGUAAGGGUGCGUAGUGGCGAGGUUAGUCAGGUGUGAAUCUCGGGGCUCAACCCCGAAACGCACUUGAUACUGCCUGCUUGAGUACUGGAGAGGAAUUGGAAUUACGGUGUAGCAUGAAAUGCGUAGAUAUCGGAAGGAACACCAGUGGAUCACAGUGAAUUCGC